Molecule: non-coding RNA, 81 nt
Filed under: unclassified sequences
Description: S10-Clostridia ribosomal protein leader
Rfam family: S10-Clostridia ribosomal protein leader
Source: RNAcentral
UGAUAGCUGUGAAACGUGAGGUUGUUACCUUUAUGGUAAGUAUUCCGUGGAGCGAAUGUCAAGUUAGGAAACUGGCGACAA